Molecule: long non-coding RNA, 1066 nt
Filed under: Homo sapiens (human)
Lineage: Eukaryota; Metazoa; Chordata; Mammalia; Primates; Hominidae
Description: long non-coding RNA NONHSAT170864.1
Source: RNAcentral
GCGGCAUGAAAUGCAUCCAGAAAUCCAAACCAUUUUGCCAGACUUUCGCCCCUAGGCCGGUUCCCAGUCCAGCUCCGGAGCCACCGUGCCGAGUUCUCCCAGGCCGCACUCACCCCGGAGGAAGCCUUGGCCCCCUCGUCCUCUUCGCCCCUCCAGGCCGGCGACGUGGGGCUGACGGCCAGGUCGCAAAAAGCAGGGCCGAGCGGAGCCCGCUCCCCUCGGUCGGCGGUGGAGACCCCGGCCCAAUCCCCCGGCCGCAGCGGUACGGCGUCGGCGGCAGCAGCUGACCCGGACACAGUGAGAAGCCCCGGCGGAAGUGAUAACAUCCCGACCUCCUCCGGGCGCGGCAGCCGGCGGUGGAGGCGGCGGGGGCGUGGCGGCGGCGGAGGCGUGGCGUCUUCUUGAAACCCACACAGCAUCCCCCCAACCCCCUCAGACGUCACGGGCUAGCGCUCGCGCCUGCACUCGCGGGGUCGGCCUUCCUUGCCUGUGGGCGGACCCGUCGCGUCGACUCCUUAUUGGUGGCGUUACUACGCCUCAAGGCGUUUCUUCCCUCUUUGCUGUUCGCAGGGACGCUGCCUGGUAGUUUCAGUUACUUUUGUUUUCUUUCUGCCUGCCUUUAUUGAUCAUUACAGUAGGUGAAAUUAUCGAUAUCAAUAAUAAUAUUGUAAUACAAUAGGUGCAAUUAUCAAUAUCAAUAUUAUUACAACAGGUGCAAUUAUCAGUAUCAUUACAAUAGGUGCAAUUAUCAGCGAUCAAUAAUGUGAAUUAUAAAAUGGAUGAAAUAAGGGGAGGAGGUCGGGCGCGGUGGUUUACGCUUGUAAUCCCAGCACUUUGGGAGGGCGAGGCGGGUGGAUUACCGGAGGUCAAGAGCUCGAGACCAGCCUGGCCAACAUGGUGACACCUCGUCUCUACUAAACAAACAAAAAUUAGCUGGGCGUGGUGGCGCGCGUCUGUAAUCCCAACUACUCAGGAGGCGAGGGCGGAGGCGGAGGCGGAGUUGGAGUUUGCAGUGAGCCGAGAUCGUGCCAUUGCACUCCAGCUUGGGCAACAGAGCAAAAACUCC